ACGAACGCUGGCGGCGUGCCUAAUACCUGCCAGUCGUGCGGACCUUUUAAAAGCUUGCUUUUAAAAGGUUAGCGGCGGACGGGUGAGUAACACGUGGGCAACCUGCCUGUAAGACUGGGAUAACGCCGGGAAACCGGGGCUAAUACCAGAUCGUUUUUUCCUCCGCAUGGAGGAAAAAGGAAAGGCGGCUUCGGCUGCCACUUACAGAUGGGCCCGCGGCGCAUUAGCUAGUUGGCGGGGUAACGGCCCACCAAGGCAACGAUGCGUAGCCGACCUGAGAGGGUGAUCGGCCACAUUGGGACUGAGACACGGCCCAAACUCCUACGGGAGGCAGCAGUAGGGAAUCUUCCGCAAUGGACGAAAGUCUGACGGAGCAACGCCGCGUGAGUGAAGAAGGCCUUCGGGUCGUAAAACUCUGUUGCCGGGGAAGAACAAGUGACGUUCGAACAGGGCGGCGCCUUGACGGUACCCGGCCAGAAAGCCACGGCUAACUACGUG
RNAcentral lists this ribosomal RNA (498 nucleotides) under uncultured bacterium. Its description in RNAcentral is "partial 16S ribosomal RNA". It matches the Rfam family "Bacterial small subunit ribosomal RNA", at positions 29 to 507 of the family's 1533-position model. The record is from RNAcentral.